Tribolium castaneum (red flour beetle) is the source of this 923-nucleotide long non-coding RNA. RefSeq lists it as uncharacterized. The record is from RefSeq and is a predicted model, not a curated record. The transcript has 2 exons. NCBI's taxonomy places the organism in Eukaryota, Metazoa, Arthropoda, Insecta, Coleoptera, Tenebrionidae.
CUUCCUAUCGUACGGAUUGUGAUAAGGGGUCAUACUAAAUAUCAAAACAAUUAAUUCUUUAUUUUUUAUUAAUAGGCAUAAUCAAGAGUAGUGUUUUUCCACAACUUUAUAAGCCAAUGACUUAAUUAAUAAUUCUAAGGUUGAAAAAACUGAACUAUGAGUAGAAUUUGAAGUGCUUUUUUAAUUUUGAAGUACUGAGCUUGACAUUAUUAAACGCCUUAGAAAUUGCAACAUGUUUGUCAUUUUCCAAUUGAUCGAUGGUGUUAAAUAGUAUUGCUUUCAAAUAAAUUGAUUAAUUGCUCGUUCACACAAUAAUUUUUCAAUAGUUUCAGCUACAGAAAGAGCAGUGAGAUCGAUAAUUCUCUACUUUACUGAUUUAUUAUCUACCUUUUUCAUGCACUAGUGCUGCUUUAGAAAUUUUCAAACAAUUAUAGGGAAUUAACCUCUGAUUUAAUUAUCAAAAGCUGUGAUAACGCCUUGUCAUUCUAACUGAAUCAUCUCGUAUACUAAAUCUUGUUCGUGAUUCAUGUUUUGAACAUAAAAACACCAAAUUUUGACUACAUUUAUCAUUUAUCAGUUAAACUAGGGUCAUUGCUAGCAACAAACGCAAAAUGAAAUUUUCUGCAAUAACACUUGCUGUUUUUGUUUUCCUUGAAUUUGUUUACACUAAAGAGGUAGAUUGCGGCGAUAGAGAAUUUAUUUGUUACGAUGAAAAGCGAUUUUAUCAGUGUGUCCAAGUACGAAAAAAUCGACGACUUGUUUUGGGACAGUUACAGAACUGUCCUCAAGGGCUCAUCUGCAAACAUAACGGAACACUUGAGUGUGAGGAACCAGAUCCGUAAAUGUAAAAAUUUCAUGUUCUUGUUAUAUUCGUACCUAGUUUUAAGAAAGCAAUGAUUUUUCAAUAAAUAACAUUUUUUAUU